CUCGCCUACGGGACGCAGCAGUGGGGAAUAUUGGGCAAUGGGCGCAAGCCUGACCCAGCAACGCCGCGUGAAGGAAGAAGGCUUUCGGGUUGUAAACUUCUUUUCUCAGGGACGAAGAAAGUGACGGUACCUGAGGAAUAAGCCACGGCUAACUACGUGCCAGCAGCCGCGGUAAUAGGUAGGAGGCAAGCGUUGUCCGGAUUUAUUGGGUGUAAAGGGCGUGUAGGCGGGAGCGGCAGUCGGAUGAGAA
This 250-nucleotide ribosomal RNA is filed under the name uncultured bacterium. RNAcentral's name for it is "partial 16S ribosomal RNA". It matches the Rfam family "Bacterial small subunit ribosomal RNA", at positions 334 to 598 of the family's 1533-position model. The record is from RNAcentral.